RNAcentral lists this ribosomal RNA (305 nucleotides) under uncultured bacterium. RNAcentral's name for it is "bacterial SSU rRNA". It matches the Rfam family "Bacterial small subunit ribosomal RNA", at positions 335 to 636 of the family's 1533-position model. The record is from RNAcentral.
ACGCCUACGGGGGGCAGCAGUGAGGAAUAUUGGUCAAUGGGCGAGAGCCUGAACCAGCCAAGUCGCGUGAAGGAUGACGGCCCUACGGGUUGUAAACUUCUUUUGUCAGGGAGCAAUUGGGUCCACGCGUGGGCUUAGCGAGAGUACCUGAAGAAAAAGCAUCGGCUAACUCCGUGCCAGCAGCCGCGGUAAUACGUAGGGGGCAAGCGUUAUCCGGAUUUACUGGGUGUAAAGGGAGCGUAGACGGUGCGCCAAGUCUGGAGUGAAAUGCCGCAGCUUAACUGCGGAACUGCUUUGGAAACUGG